RNAcentral lists this transfer RNA (73 nucleotides) under Pangasianodon hypophthalmus (striped catfish). Its description in RNAcentral is "tRNA-Glu". The record is from RNAcentral. Lineage: Eukaryota; Metazoa; Chordata; Actinopteri; Siluriformes; Pangasiidae.
UCCCUGGAGGACUAGUGUUUAGGCCACCAGUGGUCUCACCGCCGUGGCCCGGGUUCGAUUCCCGGCCAGGGGA